Long non-coding RNA from Pan troglodytes (chimpanzee), 3956 nucleotides. RefSeq lists it as uncharacterized. The transcript is spliced from 4 exons. The record is from RefSeq and is a predicted model, not a curated record. Lineage: Eukaryota; Metazoa; Chordata; Mammalia; Primates; Hominidae.
GAGGAUCUGGCAUCGCAUCCUGUAGCUGGUCAUGCCUACCUGAGAGGGCUGGAGGAAACCAAAGUGGUUUAAAACAUUUAAGUGUGCUUCUUCAGAAAAAGUUUUGUCUCCCCACGCCACUUUUUAUUUAAACUAAAAAUAAUUUCUUGUUAGUGACUGCUUUGCAUUUAGACAGAGUGAUUGAUAACAAUUUAUAGGAGAUUUUGUUGGGGUGAAAAGCACACUGACAUGCCACCGCUGUUUAUUGGAGUGCGAUUUCACGUGCAAAUGCAAAAACAUUAAAAAUGUUAUUGCUCCUUAUGUGCAUAUGCGGCAGCGCUCCUCGAGGGGGCACCAGCUGCGGGAAGUCUGUUCCUUGCAGACCCCUGACCACGCGAUGAAUGAAUAAAGUACACUGACACACAGAUAUUCUGCUCUGCCAGUCCAGCUGAGGGUCCAAGCCACUUACAGGCUCCCUGCUGAGCCCUGUAAACAGUUGCGACUCGGCAGGGAGCCUGUAAGCACCUGGGACCCUCAGAAUAUCUGUGUGUCAGCGUACUUUAUUCACCGGUCAUUGGGUCAGGGGUCUGCAAGGGACAGACUCCCCACAGCUGGUGACCCCUCGAGAGGAGCCCUGCCCCCAGCUGGUGCCCCAUGUGAGGCGCUGUGUGAGGAACUGUGCGAGGAAUGCUGUGAAGGAAACGCGACGAACCGCCCGAAAACGAAGACAGACAGAACAGCAUGUGGAGACUCACGCAGUGAAAUUUUCCUCCAAGAAGUACUGCAUGAACAUACCAGGAAAACCAAAAGAAUUCACAGAACCUUUGAAAGAAGUGGCUUGCCGCUGCAAACUCCAUGAGACAGCUGAAAAACUGGCAAAGCAGCUGAGAUCUUUGAGCUCCCUUUGAACUUUGAGAAUGGUGACUGGAAGAUGACAAUUCAUGUUGUUUUCAGGAAAGCUAUGACCGAGAAACCAAGAAACUCACUAUCUUGUCCUCUUGGAUGCCAGCUAUAAAUUGAAUCAAGUUGGACACCGGAAUUUUGACCACUUUCCACCUUUCUAUCGUGGUCAGGUAAGUUGCAUAAGCCUGUGAUAUGCAUGAUUUUGGACUUUGUUCCUUUUCACACUGGCCUACAGUUGAGGUACCAGAUUCUCAUAUAUCAAUAAUUAAAGUAGUAAUCACUUAUAUGAGACGUUGAAAUGUACUCCCUUCAAGAAAGGUGACAUUUUCAGCUGUUUUCUUAAUGGGAAAACAUUAUUGGUGGGAGCAAACUACAGAUCCUUCAAUGAGAUUAGUGUGAAAGCAGAAGAAAUGUGAAGGCAGUGGCUAUUUGAGUGACAUGAAAAUAUUCUAAGGGGCACAAAAGCAGAAAGGGAAAGCUGGUAACUUCACAGUAAAUCUCAUUGCCUCCAUAGUUUUUCCCAACAUCAGGAAGUGCCUUUCUACAAACCUGUGGCAUGAACUUAACAGAGAGAAUUGAAAUUUCUACUUGUUGGAUAACUACACAGUUACACAACAAACAAGAGGCUAUACAUUUCCAUGUGGAGACUAAUGUUACAACUUAAUCCUUUUGGCAAUCAGAGAUGGGCAAUUAUCCUAACCAACUUAUGUUUCCAACUUAGAAAGCUUUCUAUUUUCAGGGCUUUCUUCAUACUUAAAUCUGGUAACCAAGCCUAUGAAAAGAAGUUUUAAAUAACAGCAGGUAUAAAUGUCUGUAGGAAAAGGCUUGAGCAGUGUAGGUACCAUCUCAGAAUUAUAAGAGGGUGGACAGAACUUCUUUUGUUAAAUACUAUUAUCUUAACCCAAGAGAACUGUCAAUAGAGAGCUGAGUUUCUGGAUUAUGGGUGCUUCCCUCCUAUGUCUUAAGAUUAGCCAGCAGCAUGCAAGGAAUUGGAAGCAUGUCCUUACAUGACACAGCAAGAAGGGUGACAAGAUCCUAUUUGUGUUUGAAAAAGUUUACUCUUGCUGCUGCAUACAAAAUGGAAUGUUAAGAUGCAAGAAUGGAAUCAAGGAGGCUCUUAGAAUAAUGGGUAAGAGUUAAUGGUGGCUUUGACCUGAGUGGAGGCUGUGGAGGUAGACAGAAGUGAGAACAUUUGCUGACGCUGUAGGUAGGGGAAUGGUGAGGUGUUAUGGACUGACUUGUGUCACUCUCAAAUUUAUAUAUUGAAGUUCUAAUCCCUAGUACUUCAGAAUGUUACUAUAUUUGAAGACAGCAUUCUUAAAAAGGCUAUUAAGUUAAAAUGAGGUCAUAGGGUUGUCCCUAAUCCAAUAUAAUAGGUUUCUUCAUGAGAAGAGGAGAUUCGGUCACAGGCAUGUACAGAAGAAGACUGUGUGAAGACACAGAAGAAGUUAUCUACAAACCAACAAGAGAGGCUUCAGAAGAAACCAACAUUGUUGACACCCUGAUCUUGGAUUUCUAGACUCAGGAAUUGUGAGAAAAUAAAUUUUUAUUGUUUAAGCCACCCAGUCUGUGGUACGUUCUUAUGGCAUCCCUGGCUAAUGAAUACAGGAGGCAGCUAAAGGAAUUGAGGAUUAUGCCUAGUUUUGUGGCUUGAGAAAUGGGGUAUUUAGAGGUCUCAUUACCAGGACGAGUAAGAUUGAGGAAAGAACAUGUUUGGAAUCUAUAUGGGAAUGUUGGUGGUGGGAAAAACUGAGAGGUAAAUGUAGUAGUUUAUGUGUGGGAUGCCUAUGCACAUGCAAGAAAAGAUAUCAAGGAGGCAGUGGUAUGUGCAAAUCUGGAAAUUUUAUAAAUUCUUAUGCAGAUGAUUUAAAUAAAUAAAUUUGAACCCUGUCAUCUAUUCUCAAUCCCUUCUGGAUUUCAACCAAAAGGGCUGGUUGUAUGGGGCUAGCAUCAUAUAUCAAUGUCAGUAAGUUAGAUUGUCCAUUACUUUGUAUUGAAUGGAACUAUGUGCUGCAUGAUUUCUGUGUCUCUAAAAGUCAACAGACCUUGGGCAGACACAAAAGUUUAAAUGUCACCCUGAAAAACCACUCUAAAUUAGGAGGCAGUUGCGACAUUCUAAACAAAUUUACUAGAUUACAUAUCAUGAGAUAUGGCUUUGGGUUCAAACUCUACCCUUUUUAGAUUAGUGUUCUUGGAUCAUAAUCUCUGAGACUUAGAUUUUUCAUUCAUUUUAUAGUGAAUCUCAUUAGGGGUACUUCACUUGAUUUAGGGUAUUUUUGGAAUUUUCAGGGUGAGUUUUUGUUGUUGCAUGAUUGAGGAGUUCUAGUUAGUAGAAGCUCUGUGAAGUCCUGCAAAAUGAUUUGACACAAAGCCUUCUUGGAUGUGUACUUACAGUUGCACAACUUGAAAAUAUUCUAUACAUUACAAGUGGGGCUAUAGUGACACACACACACACACAUUUAACACAUUUGUGUAUUAAUUUUACUUCAGGACUGUAAAGUGUUACAAAAUUCUAGCUAUUAAAAGAGGGCAUUGCACCAAGUUAUGUUGUGUUGAGAACCACUGACCUAUAAUAUCUUUUUAUUGCCUUUAUUAUUUUGAAUGGACACAUAAUAAUUAUACAAUUUAUGGGGCACAGUGUGAUAUUUUGAUGCAUAUAUAUCAUGAAUAGUGAUCAAAUCAGGGUAACUAGCAUAUCCAUCACUUCAACCAUUUAUCAUUUCUUUGUACAUGGAUAAAGAAAAUGUGGUGUAUCCAUUUGUCCGUUGACAAACACUUAGGUUUGGCCAUUGUGAAUAGUACUGCAAUAACCAUGGGAGUGCUUUCAUAUUGCUUUCCUUUCAAUAUGAUAUAUAUCUAUAUAUCUAUAUAUCUAUAUCUAUAUCUAUAUCUAUAUCUAUAUACACUCACAUACACACAUAUGGGGGAUAUAGAAAUGGAAGAAAGAAAGAAGAUCACAUUUUUACCUAACGCUUUCUUCUUUUCUAUUGUUACUUUCUUUAUAUUUUUAUCUUUGAAGCUCAGAUUUAUCAUAAAUGUUGUAUACUAUUUUAAAUAUUUUCUUUUUCCUAAUU